CUUCCCUUCAUCUGACAUAUCAGGUCUUCUAGGAGAAUCCACAUAUGGGCCACAAUGUGGAGGUGGGAGUGGCCAUGCUGCGCACAGGGGCUGACUCAGAGCCUAGAGGAUGAAGCUGGAUCAGGAAUGUGGUAAAACGCUACUCAAAGGGUGCUUAGGAGCCAUUGAAAGUUCUGAAAGGACGGGAGAAUGAGAAUCUGUUCUUAAGAGACGACCACUCUGAGUAACUCGGCUGAAUGCAUCCUAUCCAUUUAUCAAUAACUCUAGUUCGCUUCCUUGGAAUGGAGAAGUGUCAGCAGUGUUGAUUAACCAGGAUCACAGACCCAUUUUAAUAACAUGACAAAAAGUGCAGACCUUUUACUCACCAGAAAAAUGUACCCACAACCAAAUUUUGAACAUAAUGUAUUAAGGUUUAUG
RNAcentral lists this long non-coding RNA (417 nucleotides) under Homo sapiens (human). Its description in RNAcentral is "HSALNT0144719". Lineage: Eukaryota; Metazoa; Chordata; Mammalia; Primates; Hominidae. The record is from RNAcentral.